Molecule: ribosomal RNA, 482 nt
Filed under: uncultured bacterium
Lineage: Bacteria
Description: partial 16S ribosomal RNA
Rfam family: Bacterial small subunit ribosomal RNA
Source: RNAcentral
AUUGAACGCUGGCGGCAUGCCUUACACAUGCAAGUCGAACGGUAACAGGUCUUCGGAUGCUGACGAGUGGCGAACGGGUGAGUAAUACAUCGGAACGUGCCCAGACGUGGGGGAUAACGAGGCGAAAGCUUUGCUAAUACCGCAUACGAUCUAAGGCUGAAAGCAGGGGACCGCAAGGCCUUGCGCGGUUGGAGCGGCCGAUGGCAGAUUAGGUAGUUGGUGGGAUAAAAGCUUACCAAGCCGACGAUCUGUAGCUGGUCUGAGAGGACGACCAGCCACACUGGGACUGAGACACGGCCCAGACUCCUACGGGAGGCAGCAGUGGGGAAUUUUGGACAAUGGGCGAAAGCCUGAUCCAGCAAUGCCGCGUGCAGGAUGAAGGCCUUCGGGUUGUAAACUGCUUUUGUACGGAACGAAAAGGCUCUGGCUAAUACCUGGGGCACAUGACGGUACCGUAAGAAUAAGCACCGGCUAACUACGUG